Molecule: ribosomal RNA, 107 nt
Filed under: Rattus norvegicus (Norway rat)
Lineage: Eukaryota; Metazoa; Chordata; Mammalia; Rodentia; Muridae
Source: RNAcentral
CUUUAUGGCCAUAUCACCCUGAAUGCAACUGAUCUCGUCUAAUCUUUGAAGCUAAGCAGAGUCGGUCCUGGUUAGUACUUGGAUAGAAGACAUCAGCACCUUUAUGU